This 627-nucleotide ribosomal RNA is filed under the name Triticum aestivum (bread wheat). Its description in RNAcentral is "partial small subunit ribosomal RNA". The record is from RNAcentral. Lineage: Eukaryota; Viridiplantae; Streptophyta; Magnoliopsida; Poales; Poaceae.
AUGGAGGAUUUCGUCGCAUGGAAUGAUACACGCUCAGGAUCAUUUACAGUAAGAUCGGCCUAUCAUGUUGAGUUUGAGCAUCAAUAUGGACGCCAUUGGCAGCACCCGGAUGGGCAGGGAAGCACCAGUAUAAACCCCAUCUGGAAACUAAUAUGGAGCCUGGCUAUCCCUGGCAAAGUAAAGCACUUUGUUUGGAAAUGUCUAAAAGGUGUACUGCCCUGUUUGGGUAUUCUUGCUGGGCGUCACAUCCCUACGUCCGCACAGUGUCCGGUUUGUAAGAUUGGGUUAGAGGACAUCCAACAUUGCCUCUUCAGUUGCCAGAGAGCGAUGAAAAUCUGGGAAGAACUGGGACUAUCAGAAGACAUCAAGAAAGCUAUCGCCGAAGACCGGUCGGGUUCGAUAACGAUGGAAAUACUGCAAAGAGCCCAAGAUAGUGCGGACGGAUUGCCAAAAGCAGAAUUAUUUGCAGUUGCAGCGUGGUAUAUUUGGUGGCAGAGAAGACAGCUUGUCAAGGGGGAAAGUAUAACGUCCCCGGAGCGUACUGCUACUACUAUCAAGUGGGCGCGAUUGCUCGAGAUGACAGAGGAGAGUUCGUUGCAGCCGCGGCAUGGUUCAUUCCACAUGUGA